This 462-nucleotide ribosomal RNA is filed under the name uncultured bacterium. RNAcentral describes it as "partial 16S ribosomal RNA". It matches the Rfam family "Bacterial small subunit ribosomal RNA", at positions 28 to 507 of the family's 1533-position model. The record is from RNAcentral.
GACGAACGCUGGCGGCGUGCUUAACACAUGCAAGUCGAGCGGUAAGGCCUUUCGGGGUACCCGAGCGGCGAACGGGUGAGUAACACGUGGGUGAUCUGCCCUGCACUUCGGGAUAAGCCUGGGAAACUGGGUCUAAUACCGGAUAUGACCUCCUAUCGCAUGGUGGGUGGUGGAAAGAUUUAUCGGUGCAGGAUGGGCCCGCGGCCUAUCAGCUUGUUGGUGGGGUAAUGGCCUACCAAGGCGACGACGGGUAGCCGACCUGAGAGGGUGACCGGCCACACUGGGACUGAGACACGGCCCAGACUCCUACGGGAGGCAGCAGUGGGGAAUAUUGCACAAUGGGCGAAAGCCUGAUGCAGCGACGCCGCGUGAGGGAUGACGGCCUUCGGGUUGUAAACCUCUUUCAGCAGGGACGAAGCGGAAGUGACGGUACCUGCAGAAGAAGCACCGGCUAACUACGUG